CAUGAAGCUGGAAUCGCUAGUAAUCGCAGAUCAGAAUGCUGCGGUGAAUACGUUCCCGGGUCUUGUACACACCGCCCGUCACACCAUGGGAGUCGGAAAUGCCCGAAGUCGGUGACCUAACCGAGAGGGAGGAGCCGCCGAAGGCAGGUUCGGUAACUGGGGUGAAGUCGUAACAAGGUACC
This 182-nucleotide ribosomal RNA is filed under the name uncultured bacterium. Its description in RNAcentral is "partial 16S ribosomal RNA". It matches the Rfam family "Bacterial small subunit ribosomal RNA", at positions 1319 to 1500 of the family's 1533-position model. The record is from RNAcentral.